RNAcentral lists this ribosomal RNA (243 nucleotides) under uncultured Actinomycetales bacterium. RNAcentral describes it as "partial 16S ribosomal RNA". It matches the Rfam family "Bacterial small subunit ribosomal RNA", at positions 88 to 334 of the family's 1533-position model. Lineage: Bacteria; Bacillati; Actinomycetota; Actinomycetes; Actinomycetales. The record is from RNAcentral.
UACUCGAGUGGCGAACGGGUGAGUAACACGUGGGUGAUCUGCCCUGCACUUCGGGAUAAGCCUGGGAAACUGGGUCUAAUACCGGAUAGGAGCCAUUUUUAGUGUGAUGGUCGGAAAGUUUUUUCGGUGUAGGAUGAGCUCGCGGCCUAUCAGCUUGUUGGUGGGGUAAUGGCCUACCAAGGCGGCGACGGGUAGCCGGCCUGAGAGGGUGGACGACCACAUUGGGACUGAGAUACGGCCCAG